This 321-nucleotide unclassified non-coding RNA is filed under the name Hevea brasiliensis (rubber tree). Lineage: Eukaryota; Viridiplantae; Streptophyta; Magnoliopsida; Malpighiales; Euphorbiaceae. The record is from RNAcentral.
AAGAAAAGUGACCCCACAUAUUCAAGCACGCUCCUUAAGCAUGCUGAACAGUUAUUUACUUUUGCUGAUAAACACAGGGGUUCCUACAGUGAGAGCAUCCCUGAAGUUCAGACUUAUUACAAUUCAACAGGAUACGGGGAUGAGCUCCUGUGGGCAGCUAGCUGGCUCUACCAUGCUACAGGGGAUAAAUCAUAUCUUCAAUAUGUGACUGGGGAAAAUGGAAAAUCCUUUGCAAACUGGGGAAGUCCAACAUGGUUUAGCUGGGACAAUAAACUAGCGGGAACACAGGUACUGUUGUCCAGAUUAACCUUCUUUGGUGAG